CCCGUAGUCUCCCCUUCUACCGUUUCUCAGUUAUUCACAAGCUGCUUCUAAUGUUUCCACAAGGAAAACUCCUUGUCUUUUUCAAGGCCCAACUUCAAACCUCCAGCUGGUGUUCAAGUUUACUACUUAAGUAUCAAGUUAAAAAUAAUGGCUGAUGCCCAGAAUGUUAAAGAUGGACAACACUGCAACUACUGUGCCCACCCCCAUUGUAGAGCUGAGGAAACUGAGGCCC
Molecule: long non-coding RNA, 232 nt
Organism: Prionailurus viverrinus (fishing cat)
Lineage: Eukaryota; Metazoa; Chordata; Mammalia; Carnivora; Felidae
Exons: 3
Source: RefSeq, a predicted model, not a curated record